AACGCACCUUGCACCCUUUGGUAUUCCGAAGGGUAUGCCUGUUUGAGUGUCAUUAAAUUCUCAAAUCAAACAAUUUUGGUUGUUUUGAUUUGGACUUGAGGGUUAUUGCUGUUCAUUCAGCUCCCUUGAAAUAUAUAUGUGGCAUUUGAUCCCCUUUUGUCCUUUGACAUGGUAAACUUAUCGAGUCAAUUUGUGUACAAUUGGUGUUGGAUUGUGCUGCUAUCAAACUGUCUUUAUUGACAAUUUUAUGAACUAUUUGACCUCAAAUCAGGUAGGACUACCCGCUGAACUUAA
Molecule: unclassified non-coding RNA, 294 nt
Filed under: uncultured fungus
Lineage: Eukaryota; Fungi
Description: partial contains 5.8S ribosomal RNA, internal transcribed spacer 2, and large subunit ribosomal RNA
Rfam family: 5.8S ribosomal RNA (bases 1-52)
Source: RNAcentral